Long non-coding RNA from Nicotiana tabacum (common tobacco), 771 nucleotides. RefSeq lists it as uncharacterized. The record is from RefSeq and is a predicted model, not a curated record. Lineage: Eukaryota; Viridiplantae; Streptophyta; Magnoliopsida; Solanales; Solanaceae.
ACAAAAACAGCCAAGUGCCAACACACCUUCUGUCUUUCUAGUUCUCAAAUCAAAAAGUUAGAUUUCUUUGCCUGUCAAUCUUUUGAUGAUUUGAUCGCUGCUACAACCCUCUGCCGGAGCCGGAUGCCCUCAAGUUCUCGUUGUAGUUGUCCCACAUUUUGAACUUCAUUCUCUUUGUCAAUUUGUGCUUUUGUACUUUGUGAUGGUCGGUAUUUGGUGCAUCCAAGAAGAUUCAACGAUGAGGCCUACUAUGAGGAAAGUCACUCAAAUGCUUGAUGGAUCUGUUGAAGUGACUACUCCACCUUUCCCUUAUACUUUCAGCACUACUAUUUAAGAUGAGCCUCAUUGCUGUGCAAUUUCCGCCGCGGUAUAUCUUUAUAUCUAAAUAUAAAGUUGAAGCCAAGGAUGGAUGAAUGUUGUACAUUGCUAUAGAUGUGGUUCUAGCAGCUGAUCAAAAGGAAGCAAAAGGUCCUUUCUUGCUAGAUAAAUGUUACUAUUAGACAUCAUAAGAACAAUUUUGGUUAUAAAAUAUUCGUUCUGAUAUCAUGUCAAAGAAUUUGAGCAUUCAAACCAAAACGUUAAAACAAUAUGCAGAGUACUCCAAAAUCCUUAUCAAUCUCUAUGAGAAACUCAUCACUAGAGAUUAGAUUUGUGCUGGUAACUGUUGAUCUGUAUAUAACUAGUGGAAAGGGGGGAGCUAUGCGUUUUCACAUGUCAAGAUGAACAUGUAAUAAAUUCUGAUCAAGGUUGUUUUACGCUGAGUAUUGUUUU